RNAcentral lists this ribosomal RNA (435 nucleotides) under uncultured bacterium. RNAcentral describes it as "bacterial SSU rRNA". It matches the Rfam family "Bacterial small subunit ribosomal RNA", at positions 43 to 524 of the family's 1533-position model. The record is from RNAcentral.
CAGGCCUAACACAUGCAAGUCGAACGAAGGCUUCGGCCUUAGUGGCGCACGGGUGCGUAACGCGUGGGAAUCUGCCCUGGGGUACGGAAUAACUCAGAGAAAUUUGAGCUAAUACCGUAUGAUGACGUAAGUCCAAAGAUUUAUCGCCCUGGGAUGAGCCCGCGUAGGAUUAGCUAGUUGGUGGGGUAAAGGCCUACCAAGGCGACGAUCCUUAGCUGGUCUGAGAGGAUGAUCAGCCACACUGGGACUGAGACACGGCCCAGACUCCUACGGGAGGCAGCAGUGGGGAAUAUUGGACAAUGGGCGAAAGCCUGAUCCAGCAAUGCCGCGUGAGUGAUGAAGGCCUUAGGGUUGUAAAGCUCUUUUACCCGGGAUGAUAAUGACAGUACCGGGAGAAUAAGCUCCGGCUAACUCCGUGCCAGCAGCCGCGGUAAU